Molecule: long non-coding RNA, 943 nt
Organism: Monomorium pharaonis (pharaoh ant)
Lineage: Eukaryota; Metazoa; Arthropoda; Insecta; Hymenoptera; Formicidae
Exons: 2
Source: RefSeq, a predicted model, not a curated record
ACACAUGCAGUAUGUCUGGAACAAAAUUUUGUAGUAACCAAUAGGUUAUCUCUCAUCAUUAAAAAUGAUUGUUAUGAAAUAAUUAAUAACCUAUAUUAACAUUUGAAAACGGUACUAUAUUAUCAUAAUAAAAUUUUUUUAUCUUAUGAAAACGGUUCUCUUUUACACUAACAGAUGCAUUAGUAUUGUAGGAUAUAAUAAACUCGUGUACACUUUAUUGUAUGAAAAAAUUUUUUAAUGAGCAUAAACUAAGAAUUUGAUAAAAAUUAAAAACGUGAAAAAUUUUAUACUAUUAGAAAUAUAUUAAUUGUUCAACAUCUAGAGAACAUUAUUACUUUUGAUAUUUUCACCCUAAUUAUGUGAUACAAGGAAUCUUCUAACAUAAUGUCAAUUACUCGUGUAAUAUGUGUCUCGUAUAGAAUUUUAGCAUAAGCAACACGUCACAUUUGAUGGAAAAUAGUACAUCUGAACAGAGAUUAGUGUUACAUAGAGUGUUUACGACACUAUUACAGAAUUUGACACUACAUGUUUUUUCUUAAAGCGACAAUUAAAUCUUUGUAACUGUAGAAGAAUAUUUAUAACUACGAAUGUUAAUAUUACAAAUAAAUUUUGCAUUAUGAAACGAUGUUAGAGCAAAGAUCGCUUCUUAUUGUACAAAGGAUAAUAAAAUGUGAAAAGUCCUGCAAAGUUAAGAAAUUUACGUAAAUCACACGUAGAACAUGACACAUGCAAAAGUUUAACCUAAUCAACUUAUUGUCAUUUUAUUUAAUGAAAAAUUAUUUCUUUUAACAGGCUUAUUUCUUAUUCAUGCUUCCUUGCCAUCACAAAAAUUGUCAAAAGUUUUUUUGCUCAAAUGAGUCUUAUGUAAAAAUGGUUCCAUUAAUUAUUGCAUAUGUUAAAUGUAUUGGGUCAAUAAACAAUAAUGUAACAAGUUUAUAAAAUA